GUCGAGCGGUAGCACAGAGAGCUUGCUCUCGGGUGACGAGCGGCGGACGGGUGAGUAAUGUCUGGGAAACUGCCUGAUGGAGGGGGAUAACUACUGGAAACGGUAGCUAAUACCGCAUAACGUCGCAAGACCAAAGUGGGGGACCUUCGGGCCUCAUGCCAUCAGAUGUGCCCAGAUGGGAUUAGCUAGUAGGUGGGGUAACGGCUCACCUAGGCGACGAUCCCUAGCUGGUCUGAGAGGAUGACCAGCCACACUGGAACUGAGACACGGUCCAGACUCCUACGGGAGGCAGCAGUGGGGAAUAUUGCACAAUGGGCGCAAGCCUGAUGCAGCCAUGCCGCGUGUAUGAAGAAGGCCUUCGGGUUGUAAAGUACUUUCAGCGGGGAGGAAGGCGAUAAGGUUAAUAACCUUGUCGAUUGACGUUACCCGCAGAAGAAGCACCGGCUAACUCCGUGCCAGCAGCCGCGGUAAUACGGAGGGUGCAAGCGUUAAUCGGAAUUACUGGGCG
This 508-nucleotide ribosomal RNA is filed under the name uncultured bacterium. RNAcentral describes it as "bacterial SSU rRNA". It matches the Rfam family "Bacterial small subunit ribosomal RNA", at positions 61 to 560 of the family's 1533-position model. The record is from RNAcentral.